Molecule: RNA transcript, 1301 nt
Organism: Medicago truncatula (barrel medic)
Lineage: Eukaryota; Viridiplantae; Streptophyta; Magnoliopsida; Fabales; Fabaceae
Exons: 3
Source: RefSeq, a predicted model, not a curated record
CUUAUUGUGACUAUGUCUAGUUGUUGGCGAAAGGGGGGAAACUCCCUUUCACGCAACUGAUUUGUGACUGGAGACCGUGUGUUUGAGUCGUGGAAUAAGUCUCUUAGAAUUACAAGAUGAGAUUACCUACAAUAGAUUCAAAAUGGGUGUUAAUGGAUUCAAACAGCAACCAGACUGAUGAAAAACCACAAGUCAAGCCAGCACAAAUAGUCACAUUCUGUCAAAGAAACAAGUCCAGGGAUGGGAGUUUUGUGUCUAAAUUAAGAAAUCACUUUCAUGAAUUUAUCCAUGCAUCCGUUGAUGAACACAGGAGAUGCUUGAGAAACACAAUUCAAAAUGUAGGGGAACUUUGCCUGACUCAAUGUUUUUGAUGUCUUCUUGAAGUAUCUCAUAAUGCUUCUUGAUUUCCACUUCAGUUGUCCCUCCAACAAACAUGGCUAUAUUGUACCAACGGUCAGAAGUUUCCUUGUCAUAUAUUGCCAAUGCAUUUUCAAAUAGUUUGUUCUUCUUGGUUGUCCAUUGUAGACUUGAGUUAGGAGAAGAAAGCAUGUUGGAUGAUGUCUUGGAUGUCAUUGCAAAAAAACAAAAAAUCACAAGAGGGUUUUAGAUGGGAAGAAACAGGUGUUAGGUUUUUAUAUUGAUCUAAUUCAUCUUUAAUAAAAGACAUGUUUGUGAGGAGGGUCACCCUUUAUAAACUAUUUUAAGCCUUAUCUCUUUUUAAUGUGGAACUUGGAUUUUUUUUUUUUCUUUUCAAUAUAACAUCACUGUUCAGUACCAUUGGAUUUGGUGCGAUGAUAAUUUUGUCGGUGGCUCGAGCAGACAAACUCCAAAAUUAUAUUACAUUUUUAUAUUGGCUCUGACUCAUUCUUAUAAAAUCGACUUAUAGGGUGAUGAGUGUCACUACUUAUCAACUAUUUUUAGAUAUUAUCUCUUUCAACUGGAUUUUGAAUUUUUCUCGAUAAGAGGUACCAAUCCUUUGGCAACUAGUCACUAAAUUAGAAAGAAUCAUCGACUAUAAUAAGGAAGUGAAUGAGUAAGAAAGCAAUAUGUGGAAGGCUAUUGGGAAGCACGGGGAACUAGGAAGCUAAUAAGGUGAAUAUUUUAAGUAUACUCGAUUCAAGAGAUGACACUAUGAAACUAGUAAUUGGUGUGGCAUUUAAACUAUUUGUGGCAAGUUUCCAAGAUGUCCAACAAAAGUACAUGUGAUAAUACUAUCCUUAUAUACUAUAUGAUGAUUGUGCAGCUGGUACAUUAACAAGAGUGAUUGGUUCUAAAGAAAUACCCUGUUGCUUCAUUUUUCA